This 1364-nucleotide long non-coding RNA is filed under the name Dasypus novemcinctus (nine-banded armadillo). RNAcentral describes it as "lncRNA (ENSDNOG00000050007.1)". The record is from RNAcentral. Lineage: Eukaryota; Metazoa; Chordata; Mammalia; Cingulata; Dasypodidae.
GGCUCAGCCUGACGGCGCAGGAAGGGGCCCUUGCCCCCUCCCGGCGGCCCCUGGACCCUGCGGUGUGGGCUCUGGUGCAGGUGGGUGGGCGGCGGAGUCCAGCCUGUGCCCCCACCUUCCUGCCUCUGAGCUGGGAGCCUCUCCUGGCACCCAGGAAGGGGGUCUGAACUCACAGUGGGGGUUAGAGAGGGCUAAGUGGGGGGUAAAGAGCGUGUCAGGCGGCUCCUUCCAAGGACACGAAGCCAGGCUCAGGUGGGACCCCUCUGCGGGGCUGUGUGACGCCAGGCAAGUCUCUGUUCCCGCCUCUGAGCCUCAGUUUCCUCAUUCGCAACGUGAGGGCACGACCGCAGGGCAGCUGGAGGGUUAGCAGAGAUUGGCGUCUGCAAAGGGCAUGGCGAGAGCCUGGCGCUCGGGUGCCCAGGGACCCCCCGCCUCGGGAGACCUGGCCGGGGGCAUCCUCCCCGUGCCUGCCCCCCACGGACCGUUGCUCCUGAGGAAGACAGGGCCGGCUCCAACGCCCGGGAAGGGAAAGUGGCCCUUCCUGCAGGGCCCUGUGGGAAAGAGUGGGAGGUCUCGGCGAGCAGGGACGCUCAGCUGACCCGCUGGAUGACGUCGAUGAGGGAAGAGAAGCAUCAACUCUGAUUUGGCUUUCUUCAUUCAUCAAGCUGGUAAAGCCGGAACCCAGAUCAAGACAGAUCUUCCCGCCCCCCGAAGCGGCCCUCGAGCUGCCUCCGGCCAGUGCCCCCUCGGCCCCCAAGGUGACAGCUUUCCUGGCUCUGUCACCGUUAGCCGCCUGCUUUGGACCGUCAGGUAAGUGGAAUCGCCGCGUGGGCUCCUUGGCCUGCGCUCGGUGGAACAUUCGUGCACGGCUCUACGGGGAACAGGCAGGGCUGGUGGGUCUUGACUUAAGCAAGUGAAUGGCCCACGUGCCCCUGACUGAGAGGGGGCGGCCGGGCAACACGGGGGGCUCAGGGCCAGUGCUCUUGUGCCGCGUGGAGGGGGCAGCCGAGCACAGCCCUGGGGCUGCAGGUGAGAACGGCCCACAGCAGCGCCUCCGUGACUUCCGGCCACCAGCGUCAGCGAGCACAGGAAUUAGCUGUCACGUUGGUUAAGUGGUGUCUUGCUGCCACUAAGAUUCAGCAAAGCCUGCUCCUGACCAGGCCUCCCUCCCCAUCACCCCUAUUUGAAGGGGACCCCCGUUUCAGGAGAGAAAAGGGCAAGUGUCUUGCUCUGCCUCGGGAGACCCCUGCCCACCCACUGGGUGUGCCAGAGCUGCCUGGGGAAGCCUGACUCAUACCCACAUCAAGCUCCAGCCCUGUGCGUUAGGAGGUGUUCUGAGAAGCCGUGUAACCCAGGCAGGCUCC